Molecule: transfer RNA, 73 nt
Filed under: Loxodonta africana (African savanna elephant)
Lineage: Eukaryota; Metazoa; Chordata; Mammalia; Proboscidea; Elephantidae
Rfam family: tRNA
About the family: Transfer RNA (tRNA) molecules are approximately 80 nucleotides in length. Their secondary structure includes four short double-helical elements and three loops (D, anti-codon, and T loops).
Source: Rfam by way of RNAcentral
GUCUUCUUAGCUCAAUAGGCAGUGUGUCAGUCUCAUAAUCUAAAGGUUGUGAGUUUGAGCCUCAGAGAGGACA